UACAGAGGGUGCGAGCGUUAAUCGGAAUUACUGGGCGUAAAGCGCACGUAGGCGGCUUGGUAUGUCGGGGGUGAAAGCCCGAGGCUCAACCUCGGAACUGCCUUCGAUACUGCGGGUCUCGAGUCCGGGAGAGGUGAGUGGAAUUCCUAGUGUAGAGGUGAAAUUCGUAGAUAUUAGGAAGAACACCAGUGGCGAAGGCGGCUCACUGGCCCGGUACUGACGCUGAGGCGCGAAAGCGUGGGGAGCAAACAGG
Molecule: ribosomal RNA, 253 nt
Filed under: uncultured bacterium
Lineage: Bacteria
Description: partial 16S ribosomal RNA
Rfam family: Bacterial small subunit ribosomal RNA
Source: RNAcentral